This is a non-coding RNA of Henosepilachna vigintioctopunctata, 73 nucleotides long. Lineage: Eukaryota; Metazoa; Arthropoda; Insecta; Coleoptera; Coccinellidae. The record is from the annotation of a GenBank genome assembly.
AUCUCUGUAGUUUAGUCGGUAGAACUCCCACCUAUGGUGCGGUAGAACUCGGGUUCGAGCCUCGCUGAAGGCA